RNAcentral lists this ribosomal RNA (478 nucleotides) under uncultured bacterium. RNAcentral's name for it is "SSU rRNA". It matches the Rfam family "Bacterial small subunit ribosomal RNA", at positions 26 to 518 of the family's 1533-position model. The record is from RNAcentral.
AGGAUAAACGCUGGCGGCGUGCCUAACACAUGCAAGUCGAACGCCCUUUAGCUUCGCAAGGAGUGGGAGGGAGUGGCGGACGGGUGAGGAACACGUGGGUGACCUACCUUUCAGUGAGGAAUACCGGCGAGAAAUCGCCGACAAGACCGCAUAGGCUCGAUGCAAGUCGAGCAAAGCUCUCUCGAGAGAGGGAGCGCCACACGAGGAGCCUGCGCCCGAUUAGCUAGCUGGUGGAGUAACGGUUCACCAGGGCGACGAUCGGUAGCUGGUCUGAGAGGACGAUCAGCCACACUGGGAUUGAGAACGGCCCAGACUCCUACGGGGGGCAGCAGUGAGGAUUUUCGUCAAUGGGGCAACCCUGAACGAGCAACGCCGCGUGCAGGAAGAAGGUUUUCGGAUCGUAAACUGCUUUUCGUCGGGAAGAGAACGGACGGUACCCGAGGAAUCAGCCCCGGCUAACUACGUAGCCAGCAGCCGC